UAAUACUCGAGCCCCAAGUGGUAUCCGCUAUUAGUGGGUCUAAAGCGUCCGUAGCCGGUUUGAUAAGUCCUUAGUGAAAUUCUUUGGCAAACUGAAGAGCUUGCUAGGGAUACUAUCAGACUUGGGACUGGGAGAGGGUAGAGGUACUCCCGGGGGAGGGGUAAAAUCUUAUAAUCCUGGGGGGACCACCUGUGGCGAAGGCUUCUACCUAGAACAGGUUCGACGGUGAGGGACGAAACCUAGGGGAGCGAUCGGGAUUAGAUACCCCGGUAGUCCUAGGCGUAAACGAUGCCCGUUUGGUGUUGCUAACCUUUCGUGGGUUUGCAGUGCCGGAGUGUAGAUGUUAAACGGGCCACCUGGGGAGUACGACCGCAAGGUUG
Molecule: ribosomal RNA, 380 nt
Filed under: uncultured archaeon
Lineage: Archaea
Description: bacterial SSU rRNA
Rfam family: Archaeal small subunit ribosomal RNA
Source: RNAcentral